Molecule: ribosomal RNA, 492 nt
Filed under: uncultured bacterium
Lineage: Bacteria
Description: partial 16S ribosomal RNA
Rfam family: Bacterial small subunit ribosomal RNA
Source: RNAcentral
AGUGAACGCUGGCGGUAGGCCUAACACAUGCAAGUCGAACGGCAGCACAGUAAGAGCUUGCUCUUACGGGUGGCGAGUGGCGGACGGUUGAGGAAUACAUCGGAAUCUACUUUUUCGUGGGGGAUAACGUAGGGAAACUUACGCUAAUACCGCAUACGACCUACGGGUGAAAGCAGGGGAUCUUCUGACCUUGCGCGAUUGAAUGAGCCGAUGUCGGAUUAGCUAGUUGGCGGGGUAAAGGCCCACCAAGGCGACGAUCCGUAGCUGGUCUGAGAGGAUGAUCAGCCACACUGGAACUGAGACACGGUCCAGACUCCUACGGGAGGCAGCAGUGGGGAAUAUUGGACAAUGGGCGCAAGCCUGAUCCAGCCAUACCGCGUGGGUGCAGAAGGACUUCUGGUUGUAAAGCCCUUUUGUUGGGAAAGAAAAGCAGCAGGUUAAUCCCCCGCUGUUCUGACGGUACCCAAAGAAUAAGCACCGGCUAACUUCGUG